RNAcentral lists this ribosomal RNA (432 nucleotides) under Posthodiplostomum cf. minimum AB-2017. Its description in RNAcentral is "partial 28S ribosomal RNA". The record is from RNAcentral. Lineage: Eukaryota; Metazoa; Platyhelminthes; Trematoda; Diplostomida; Diplostomidae.
AACAGGUGGAGUUGAACUGUAAGCUCCGGGGAUUCAGCUGGUGAGUGUGUCAUGAGCUUGGUCAUUUUUGGCCGGCUUCUGGAGUCCGCUUAGCUGCGGGUCCUUGCUCUUUCGGGAGUAGGGAUGUGCGUUGCGCUUGUCAAGUGCUGUGCGCUCUGGAGGUUGCCGGGCUGGCUCGCUAGUGCACUUUCUCGGAGUGGUCACCACGACCGGCGUUGUUGCCUUACUGCUGUAGUCAAACCGGUCAGGUUUGGUCCUUGUGGCUGAAUUUGAUCGGGAUGGCAGGUAGCUCAUUGGUUGGCUUGCUGGCCUUUGGGUGUAAUAGCUGGCUGCAGUGGUUUUGUGCAAUACGUCGGAGACGGCGGCUUCAGGUAUGUGCUUUUGUGUCGUGAGCUGGCAGUGUCGAGUUUGACUGGCGUGUUUACCUGCUUC